CGUGGAACUACCACUCCCAGAAUGCAAUUGCUUGGCUUUGUUGCCGGAAAACAUCCGUUCACGAUGAACAGACAUGAACUCCAAAGAGAUGGAAAGGGAGUUGUGGAGAAGGACGAACCGAAGGAGAACAACAUUUGUUCACUCACACUGGGUCAGGUGGUCAAUGUUGUACGGUUCCAUGGUAGCCUCCCGUUUUCUGCACGUGGAGUUGGAGCUGAAAGUUCACCUUCGCCACCUGUAGUUUAGUGAGCCCGUGCGCUACAAUCCACUGGAGUAUGCCUGUGAACUGCACUGCUGCUUCGAUUAGACAUACUGUUGCUGCGGACAGACGAUUCCUUUCGGCUGUCAGCCGCAUCUGUCCGAUGAACCCGGGACGCUUCGGCAUGGCUCAGGCCCGGGUAAGGAUGUGCAAGCAGGUCAACGAAUGCUGGUGAUUUGUUAGCCUAGUUCAUCCAUUCAAGGGCCCUCUACCCUGCUCUCUUUCCAAGGUCGUGGAUUGCCACUGGAAUGCUCGUGAUUUGUUAGCCUAGUUCUUCCAUUCAAGGCCCCUCUACUCUGCAUUCUUUCCAAGGUCGUUGUAAGUGGCAAAAGGUCCCCGUUGGUAAGGUCAACCAUGUCCAUGAUUGGCUGAAGAUCACUGGUGAGGUGGGACAUCCCCCUUCGGAGCACCCAAAGCGACGAAUUAAAGGCAUGGCCUGCAUUCAGAGGGAAGUGAGAGUCACCCAUUUCUGGAACUUCUUCCGCAAGCUGUGUGCUGAGCCAGCUGUAUUAUUCUGCCAUUUCUUCGUACACAACCCGUGCCCACGUGUUCAUGGGUACCACCGGCAAGAACCUGAUGCCCCCCCGAGCUAGUCAUUGGGAAAUGUGAGGCCCUCCUGUGCCCCCUGUGACAUAGCACUGUGCCAGGCCGUGGCUGCCCUGGGCGUGACCAUGGGGAUUGGGGGUUGCAGAGAAGCAAGCACAACAAGCCCUCUCGGCUGCGGGCAUGGAGGUACAAGUGGAGGGCAUCAUGCACUCCUCUGCUGGGAGGCGGUGUCCAAGGCCAAGCUGGAGGAACAAGGCGUCCUAUCCCUCCUGAGCACAUAACCUCUAGCCAAGCAGCCUCCAUGAACAAUGCAGUUCGCUAGCCUGGGGGUAGGAGUUGCUUUAGAUCAGCAUCUAGGGGCAAUGUUUGAUGGGAUCACUAUCCUCCACUGUACCUUAACUUGAACACACUCACAUUGUGUUUACAAAUUGUUUUAUGACUCAUCACUCUGCUGUAACAUUGCUGUCAGAUGGUGUUGUCCUGCCUCUCUGCUCUCCCAGGCCCUCUCACACAGCAGUUCCCGGUUGAGCAGCAUUUCCCCCAGAGCUCUCAUGUUUAUAGGCCAUGUGUAAGCAUACUGCAUCACAAUGACUCUCCUCAGAUCCUGUUAUAUCCAUUACAGAGAAGAUAAAUGUCUGUAUUUACCUCACUGUGGUGUGUACUGCCUCACAGCAUGUAGACAGCUGCCCUGUCUCUGACCUCUGACCUUUGUGAGGACAUUCUGUAGCAUAUUACCUUGAAGCAAUUACACCCAGAUCUGGCUAAGAAAUACCUCACUACAUAUUCCAGGUAAACGUAGUUUGUCAAUCACACCUCCUAAUGAGUUUUCUAUUCUCUCACCCAGUCUCAAACAGCAGAGCUUGUUACCAAUAAUGACCCGCUAUUAUGAAGAGCCAUGACUUUAUGUUGCCAUCAUGAUGUAGCCCAGUGGGGCGUGAUCCUUGGGGGGGACGUGAGGGUUUGGGAGGAGGGGCAUGUCCCCCACCCCCAAAACAAUAUAUAUGCAGGCGUGUUCCCCAAUGAGGAACGGGGCCCGAGUGAAAACGUUUGGGGAACCACUGAUUUAGCCGGAGGCUAAUGACAUCUUACUCUCAAUUUAAACCAGGGUCCUUCUUGUGGUCAUUAUGGUAGUUGUUCUUGUUUCCCACUUGGUCUCAGCAGUGGUUUGCAAAUUGGGAGUGAAUGUAGACUAGUUUUUUUUUGGCCUUUGUAACAGCAUUGCAAUAGCAAUGUUUCUCCUUUGACCAAUUUAGUACAUGUUCAAGCCAACGAUUGACCUUUGCUGAUGCUGUAUGUAUGUGGAUGCCCUGUCCUUACCUUUGUUACAUCUUGGAAGGACUUCUGCAGUCUCUUCAUCUGUUGGAAUCCUACCAUUACUACUAAGAAAGUUCUGACUGUCAAUGUCCUACUGUUUACCCACACUAGUGCAUAGUACGUGUAAAGCCCUCUCUGUAAUGUACGCCCCAUUAGGUAAUGUAUGAAUAAGAAUAAGCCCUUGUUGAUGACAUAGAGGGCACUCAAAUGUUCUUGCACCAUGUUGUUAUACCACUCAGGUUAAGCUUGUAAUGGAGGUUAAGCUUGUAAUGGAAAAGGGGCUCAAGUGUACAGUCCUCCUUGCAGGCUCCUCUCCAAUGAUGCUUCCUCCCUUACACACCAUUCUGAACAACUCAGACAAAAUGCCACAUAGCGGGUGAUCAAGUGUGUGUGUGUGUGUGUGUGUGUGUGUGUGUGUGUGAACCUAAAUCAGGUGGUCCCUUAAUAAGAGUGAUGUUUUUCUAUAUGCAUGGGAUUCAUCUUAUACUAUGGGGUUGUGAUGUACUUUAGUUUGUACUUGAAGUUAGUGUUUUGUUUUAAAGAUUUUGUCUUGUCCAUGUUUUUUUUUAGAUGUACAUUUCUCAUUGCCUUGAGUUUUCUCUAGCAUUGUUAUAAUGAAUAUUUUUGCACAUUAACUAAUUUCCACUAUGUUGCAAUUAUUUUGUAAGGCAAUAAAUGGACUAUAUACUGCA
Molecule: non-coding RNA, 2811 nt
Organism: Oncorhynchus mykiss (rainbow trout)
Lineage: Eukaryota; Metazoa; Chordata; Actinopteri; Salmoniformes; Salmonidae
Source: RefSeq, a predicted model, not a curated record